AGUCAAAUGAAUAGCCAUGGCUGUGGAAUUUUCAUGUUGAUGGUACGACCAUUUCAUAUUGUAACUAUCAUUUUUUGUAUGUCUGUAUUUAAUGUUGUGUCCAGGUUUCCAAAGGACCAUUUUGUGGUGUCUCUGUAUUUCAUCCUCGAUGUCCCCUUCAAUUUUAAUGAGUUGUGUCUCAACUUUAGUCCUCUCUUCUUUCAUUGUAGUAUUUGUAGAGGGAGGAUUAUAUCUGGUUGCUGGUUCCCAUUUUUGUCACCUUCUACAAUUUGUGUUGGAUAUUUGUGUUAUGUUUAACUUAUUUUUUAUAUUUGUUUUUUUUUUAAUUUCAACAUACUGUCCAUAGUGGUUUUGAAGUUCCAGAAAUGCCUACCUUUCAAAAUCCAAAUCAUUUAAAUGUAUGUUUAUAAUGGUUUGCAUAAAUAUUUUUGUAACAUUAAACUCCUUUUAACAACGUGACUCUGCUCAGUCCUCUUUAGAAUGACAUGCUGGCUUUGUGGAAGAGCUGGUGUAGAAUGUUACUUGAGAACUCCAGCACCAAGGGGUUUAGACUUUAUUGAGCCAUUAAUGAGAAGACAGAGUAAAGACUUGGCACUACAUCUGAAAUGAACAAAUGUCUUGCUAUUCUGUUCCAUAGCACUGCAUUCUGCAGAUUUCAGAUUUUUUCUUUUAGAAGAAACGUCAGCCUCUCUUCUCCAACAUCCAGCACAGGGCACUGAUGAGCAGCAGCAUGGAAUCCUUCAGCAUUUCACCGAGGCACAGAAGUGGUGUGCUGAGAACAUUUCUGUGUUCAGAGGGCGAAUCUCACUCCCUGCAUUACUGUCAAUGGACAAAGACGACACUGAGGAGGCCCUUGAGAAAUUUGAUUUGCUAUCUGAA
Molecule: long non-coding RNA, 879 nt
Organism: Erpetoichthys calabaricus (reedfish)
Lineage: Eukaryota; Metazoa; Chordata; Cladistia; Polypteriformes; Polypteridae
Exons: 3
Source: RefSeq, a predicted model, not a curated record